CAUUCAGCGUCUUCACCAAGAUGCUGUUUUGCGUGAUUUCUGACAUCGUAAAGAGGAGAUCGAUCCGAGCUUGGAUCGCGAAACAUAUCGCAAGAUAUGUAUUUCGGGCUUGCACUAUCUCCUGGCCGCUCAUUCUGAAGCAUCGCAAGAUGGUUCGGCAUGGCAUCGGGCGUCGCAAGACGGCCGGUGUUGUUACCUUGUGUGACAGCGUCUUUGUUAGUGAAGCUUGACCGCCUCACUAUCGGUUCGAUCUUACGAAGCAAGCUGGUCUUUCUAAUCAUAUCCAGCUGCAU
Molecule: unclassified non-coding RNA, 293 nt
Filed under: Hevea brasiliensis (rubber tree)
Lineage: Eukaryota; Viridiplantae; Streptophyta; Magnoliopsida; Malpighiales; Euphorbiaceae
Source: RNAcentral